This 291-nucleotide unclassified non-coding RNA is filed under the name Hevea brasiliensis (rubber tree). The record is from RNAcentral. Lineage: Eukaryota; Viridiplantae; Streptophyta; Magnoliopsida; Malpighiales; Euphorbiaceae.
CAAAUUGAGAAAAACUAAACCAAGAGAAAGCAACCUUCGACUCUUAUCCCAAGAUUCAAUCUUCAGUUCACUAGGACAUGAUUUUUUUGGAUGCUUUUCCUCCUUACCCACCAAUCUAAAUAUAUUUCAUUUCCUUCGAUUUUCUGUUUGUUCUUUCUUGCACAAGUAAAAAAAAAAGAGAAGAAAGAUGUCAACUUUGGUGGUGAAUUCCCACAUUUUAUCCCACAUAAACCAAAGCGGUGGUGGUGGUGGCUGCUACGUACUGCAAACAACUUCUGGGGGUUGUAAUUG